CAGUAGCCGCGGUAAUACAGAGGGUGCGAGCGUUAAUCGGAUUUACUGGGCGUAAAGCGUGCGUAGGCGGCUUCUUAAGUCGGAUGUGAAAUCCCUGAGCUUAACUUAGGAAUUGCAUUCGAUACUGGGAAGCUAGAGUAUGGGAGAGGAUGGUAGAAUUCCAGGUGUAGCGGUGAAAUGCGUAGAGAUCUUGAGGAAUACCGAUGGCGAAGGCAGCCAUCUGGCCUAAUACUGACGCUGAGGUACGAAAGCAUGGGGAGCAAACAGGAUUAGAUACCCCGGUAGUCCCUGUCUCUUAUAC
RNAcentral lists this ribosomal RNA (301 nucleotides) under uncultured bacterium. RNAcentral's name for it is "partial 16S ribosomal RNA". It matches the Rfam family "Bacterial small subunit ribosomal RNA", at positions 509 to 807 of the family's 1533-position model. The record is from RNAcentral.